Molecule: long non-coding RNA, 443 nt
Organism: Cyanistes caeruleus (blue tit)
Lineage: Eukaryota; Metazoa; Chordata; Aves; Passeriformes; Paridae
Source: RefSeq, a predicted model, not a curated record
AGGAAAAUUGGCCCCAGCACAGGCUAUAAAGUGCAUCUUCACAACAGUGUCCACAGCUGCUGGAGGUGGUUGCUGGCCUGAAUACCGACCAAGGCAGUUAUGGCUGUGGAGUCCUGAUUUGUUCUUCUGAGAGCAGGCAUAAACUAGCAAGCUGUGGGAAAAUAUGUCCAGUUUCAAGCUGUCUGCAAUCAGCAUCUCAUCUUGAGAGAAAAUCCAGGGUUUGGAAGACAAAUAAUUACCUGUGAUUCAUCUUUGUGAUUUCAAUAGGCCAAAAUUACACCCAAGGAUGAAAACCCUGUUAAGAACUAGGGUGCUUGAGACUAGGAUCUAUAUUUUGCACUGUGAGUUCCACUUUGACAUUUAAAAUAUUUUUACAUUGGCUUAUCUGAGUGAGAUAGUAAGUCCCUCAGAGAAGUAAAAUGAUAAUUUGGUUUAACUUUUUA